ACGAACGCUGGCGGCGUGCUUAACACAUGCAAGUCGAACGGAAAGGCCCUGCUUGCAGGGUACUCGAGUGGCGAACGGGUGAGUAACACGUGGGUGAUCUGCCCUGCACUUCGGGAUAAGCCUGGGAAACUGGGUCUAAUACCGGAUAGGAGCCAUUUUUAGUGUGAUGGUUGGAAAGUUUUUUCGGUGUAGGAUGAGCUCGCGGCCUAUCAGCUUGUUGGUGGGGUAAUGGCCUACCAAGGCGGCGACGGGUAGCCGGCCUGAGAGGGUGGACGGCCACAUUGGGACUGAGAUACAGCCCAGACUCCUACGGGAGGCAGCAGUGGGGAAUAUUGCACAAUGGGCGCAAGCCUGAUGCAGCGACGCCGCGUGGGGGAUGACGGCCUUCGGGUUGUAAACUCCUUUCGCUAGGGACGAAGCUUUUUGUGACGGUACCUAGAUAAGAAGCACCGGCUAACUACGUG
Molecule: ribosomal RNA, 464 nt
Filed under: uncultured bacterium
Lineage: Bacteria
Description: partial 16S ribosomal RNA
Rfam family: Bacterial small subunit ribosomal RNA
Source: RNAcentral